Tolypothrix bouteillei VB521301 is the source of this 81-nucleotide non-coding RNA. Lineage: Bacteria; Bacillati; Cyanobacteriota; Cyanophyceae; Nostocales; Tolypothrichaceae. The record is from Rfam.
AGGAGCCGAAUGAGAUUGGAAACUCUCAUGUUCGGUUCUGAAUGAGAGGUGAAGGAAAGCGAUUUCCUCAUCGACUCUAAC